AGUUGCCUUAUGGAGUCGGUACCUCUUGGCCAUGGAGAGACAUGGAGUUGAUCAUCAAGUAAUUUCUGUAACCUUCGAGAAAGCUUUGAAUGCCGGCUUCAUCCAGGCCACUGAUUAUGUGGAGAUUUGGCAGGCAUACCUUGAUUACCUGAGGAGAAGGGUUGAUUUCAAACAAGGUAUUUAAGCACAUGUUUUUCACUUUAGAGCUGAACAUGUUCUUAAUACAACUUUUGGCGAGAUGUCCCAGUUCCCCAGAUACAUUGUGAUUGGGCAAAUGAUGUAGACUAGGUAUUGGUGACUUUUUCCCCCAGAAAUCUUAGCAAUUUCUGUCUUUAACAAGUCAUGAUGUGGAUUGUAAAGCAAGAGAGUAAUCGUUUAUACUGGCUCCUGCCAGCCUUUUUAGUCUUAGCUCUCAUUUCUCCUUUCAGGUCUUUUUAUUUAUCCUAAAUACUUCUUGAAAUAAGUCUGCUGUGUUUUAGAAAAAUCUUUGUACCUCUGUGGGAUCCUUUGCCCCUUCAUGUCCCCCCGAAAACAACCAGAAAACCCCUAACUUGUACU
RNAcentral lists this long non-coding RNA (558 nucleotides) under Homo sapiens (human). Its description in RNAcentral is "non-protein coding lnc-TMEM119-2:1". Lineage: Eukaryota; Metazoa; Chordata; Mammalia; Primates; Hominidae. The record is from RNAcentral.